CAGCCGCCGCGGGAAUACGGAGGGGGCUAGCGUUGUUCGGAAUUACUGGGCGUAAAGCGCACGUAGGCGGCUAUUCAAGUCAGGGGUGAAAGCCCGGGGCUCAACCCCGGAACUGCCUUUGAAACUAGAUAGCUUGAAUCUUGGAGAGGCGAGUGGAAUUCCGAGUGUAGAGGUGAAAUUCGUAGAUAUUCGGAAGAACACCAGUGGCGAAGGCGACUCGCUGGACAAGUAUCGACGCUGAGGUGCGAAAGCGUGGGGAGCAAACAGGAUUAGAGACCCCAGUAGUCCCUGUCUCUUAUAA
Molecule: ribosomal RNA, 301 nt
Filed under: uncultured bacterium
Lineage: Bacteria
Description: partial 16S ribosomal RNA
Rfam family: Bacterial small subunit ribosomal RNA
Source: RNAcentral